CGGGACUGCACCAACGACGUCCGCUGCCGCCGCUGCCUCGAGUCCGGCCACGAGUCGCGCGCCUGCGACGCCCGGCGCCGGGAAGACUCCCGGGCCGACUCCGGCCGCUCGGGCCCUGCUGUUCGCGGGGCUGCGCCUCGGGCCACAACGCCGUCGCCGCCACCACCUGCUGCUCCGGUGGUCCGCGCUCCCUUGGCUCCCGCCCCCGCACCGGUGCGGGUCAUCAUGUCGCACUCGGUUGAGAUGGAGGAGGCCGAGGUGGUUCUCACCCGCGCGAUGGUGGCCUCCAUUACUGGCAACAGGCCACCCGUGUCCGCUGCCGAGGUCGCCGACGUGCUCAUCUCCUCCCUCGAGCUCGUCGACGGUGACUUCACAGUUCACGUCCAUCACCCCGAAGAUUUUCUGAUCCUCUUCAACUCGCGCUCGACCAUGGAUCGCCUCAACGGUGAUCACUUCAUCCGCUCCCCGCGGUUCUCCCUCUCCGUGCGACCCUGGAGCAAGCUGGCUCAUGCGGGCUCCGGCCAGUUCGAGCACCGCGUCGAGCUUGAGCUCCGAGGCAUCCCCGCUCAGGCAUGGCACCUCUCGACGGCCGAGCAUAUUCUUGGGGAGAGCUGCUGGAUUGAGAGACUCCACCCCGGCACGCGUUCUAGGGCUGAUUUGGCCGUCUUCCGGCUGGCGGGGCGCACGCAUGAUCCUGCCAACAUCCGCCGCGCCGCCAUCCUGGAAAUCGUGGAACAGAUCCCCGCGCGCGUGGGCUCGGAGGCGCCUGCCAUCCGGACCCUCACCUACCCGAUUUCCAUCGCGCUGGCCCGUGCGGAGAGGAUCGGCGCCCCAGCUCCC
This 840-nucleotide ribosomal RNA is filed under the name Triticum aestivum (bread wheat). Its description in RNAcentral is "partial small subunit ribosomal RNA". The record is from RNAcentral. Lineage: Eukaryota; Viridiplantae; Streptophyta; Magnoliopsida; Poales; Poaceae.